UUUGACCGAUCAAUCAAUCAUUGAUUUCCAAAUCACUCUUCUUUCCAUUUUAGCCGACACCAACCGAGCCUAUAUAUACCCGGCAUCCCCUCCACUUCGAAACCGCACCUCACACCUAAACACCACACCCUCGCCGGAGAAGAAGCUGUGACCGCCGGAAAACCGCUGCCUUGCCGGAGCAGACAACAAAGUCCGGGUAAUUCUCUUGUGCACGCUCUCUUUGGGAAAAUCUUUGAUUCUUAAUCUUAUUCCAAGAAAUACGCAACGCACACUAAGGUGAGUAUACAUGACCCAUUUUCCAUUUUCACACUUUUGGGUGCAAUAUGUAUUCUAUAUCAAACACACAUGUUAUGCUAAUGUAA
RNAcentral lists this long non-coding RNA (362 nucleotides) under Helianthus annuus (common sunflower). RNAcentral's name for it is "sRNA HanXRQr2_Chr06g0278091". The record is from RNAcentral. Lineage: Eukaryota; Viridiplantae; Streptophyta; Magnoliopsida; Asterales; Asteraceae.